AGGGUUAAUCCUCUAAUUGGUCCCUGUGGUUGUGUGGCCGUCUGAAAUUAGUCCCUCCCGUAAAAUCUAAGUCCUCGUGUUUGGAAAGUGUGUGGAAAUUAGUCUCUCCGACGAGGACCUGCUACACACACUUUUUCAAACACGAGGACUUAGAUUUUACGGGAGGGACUAAUUUCAGACGGCCACAGGGACCAAUUAGAAGAUUAACCCU
This 211-nucleotide microRNA precursor is filed under the name Lotus japonicus. RNAcentral's name for it is "miR11072d stem-loop (lja-MIR11072d)". Lineage: Eukaryota; Viridiplantae; Streptophyta; Magnoliopsida; Fabales; Fabaceae. The record is from miRBase by way of RNAcentral.